Molecule: transfer RNA, 62 nt
Filed under: Duplicibothrium sp. MZUSP 8039
Lineage: Eukaryota; Metazoa; Platyhelminthes; Cestoda; Tetraphyllidea; Serendipidae
Description: tRNA-Lys
Source: RNAcentral
ACUUGUAUAACUAAUUUAAGUGCUGGGUUCUUACCUCAGCAAUGUGUGCUACACUACAGGUU